AUUUUUCUUCAUAGAAAGACAAACAAAUCUCUUCUUCUUCCUCCUCAAUUCUCUCUCUUUCUCUCUCUAAACGCUCCUCCCUCUUUCUCUCUCUCAAUGCUCCCCUCUCUCUCUCUUUCUCUGAUUCUGUUUGAAAAGCUUGUUGCGCAUAGAUCUGCAUUGUACUUAUCUUGAGAAUUCGAAAGGUGCUGUGGUCGAGAAGUUGGUAGAAGAAACAACAACCAAUGAUCAGCAUUUGAGGCAUCUUAUAAAGUAUGUGUGACUAGUGAAGAACUGUAUCUUUGCGUUGGCCUUUCUGAAAUCACCCAUGAUUUUCAGAAUUUUGUAGACCUUGCUGGAAGUGAAAGAGCUUCAUAGACACAUGCAGAUGGGGCGAGGCUCAGAGGAGGCGAUCAUAUCAAUCUUAGUUUUAUAACUCUCACAAAUGUGAUAAGAAAGCUCAAUGUUGCGAAAAAAAGCGGUCAUGUACCCUACUGGACUCCAGCUUCCCGGCACGUUUUAGAAAAUGAGAUUGAAAAUAGAGCACCGGAAAAUGAAGACUUCAUUUCAUAUCCGGUGAGACCCAGCCAGAGUCUGUGAAAGAGACUUCUACAAUAUGUGGAGAUGUUUCAUCAAAGGAAGGAACUCCAGGCUAUCGUCAUUCUAUUUCAGUUAAUACGAAGAAAAUGCAGAAGGUGGUUUAGAAUGCAGCAGAGGAGAAUGUGAGAAGCAUAAGAGCUUAUGUGACAGAAUUGAAGGAACAUGUUGCCAAACUGCAAUACCAAAAGCAGCUAUGUUUGCUAGGUCAUUGAGCUGGAAGCAAAUGAAGCGGCAUUUGGCAGAAAUUGGCAAUUCAAGCCCUGCUCCUCAUGUUGGAGAUGAGCUUACAAUUUCUAUCGUCAAGCUCGAGCAAUGAGACGUGAAAAAGAGUUUUUGGCAAAGAGGUUGACUUCACGUUUAAAUGAAAGUGCUGAGAUAGUGGCAAAGCUUGUAGGAUUCUGUGAGAAUUCCAUUUGAGCUAAAUUUUGCACUACCAACAGAUAACAGACCCUCGAUUAUGGGGUGGAACCCAAUUUUAAACCUUCAAUAGUUAAACACCACAAUAAGGUCUUUAAUA
Long non-coding RNA from Ricinus communis (castor bean), 1096 nucleotides. RefSeq lists it as uncharacterized. The record is from RefSeq and is a predicted model, not a curated record. Lineage: Eukaryota; Viridiplantae; Streptophyta; Magnoliopsida; Malpighiales; Euphorbiaceae. The transcript has 5 exons.